UGGGGGAUAUUGCGCAAUGGGGGAAACCCUGACGCAGCAACGCCGCGUGAAGGAUGAAGGUCUUCGGAUUGUAAACUUCUUUUAUUAAGGACGAAGAAAGUGACGGUACUUAAUGAAUAAGCUCCGGCUAACUACGUGCCAGCAGCCGCGGUAAUACGUAGGGAGCAAGCGUUGUCCGGAUUUACUGGGUGUAAAGGGUGCGUAGGCGGCUUUGCAAGUCAGAUGUGAAAUCUAUGGGCUCAACCCAUAGCCUGCAUUUGAAACUGCAGAGCUUGAGUGAAGUAGAGGCAGGCGGAAUUCCCCGUGUAGCGGUGAAAUGCGUAGAGAUGGGGAGGAACACCAGUGGCGAAGGCGGCCUGCUGGGCUUUAACUGACGCUGAGGCACGAAAGCGUGGGUAGCAAACA
Molecule: ribosomal RNA, 405 nt
Filed under: uncultured bacterium
Lineage: Bacteria
Also listed under: 1 other name
Description: bacterial SSU rRNA
Rfam family: Bacterial small subunit ribosomal RNA
Source: RNAcentral